CUACGGGUGGCAGCAGUGAGGAAUAUUGCACAAUGGGGGGAAAGAGGAGGAAGCAACGCCGCGUGGAGGAGUACGCAUUUCGGUGUGUAAACUCCUUUUCUCUGGCCAGAAAAUGAUGGUAGCAUAUGAAUAAGCACCGGCUAACUCCGUGCCAGCAGCCGCGGUAAUACGGAGGGUGCAAGCGUUACUCGGAAUCACUGGGCGUAAAGGACGCGUAGGCGGGUUGGAAAGUCAGGUGUGAAAUCCUACAGCUUAACUGUAGAACUGCACUUGAAACUUCUAAUCUAGAGUAUGGGAGGGGGAGAUGGAAUUAGUGGUGUAGGGGUAAAAUCCGUAGAUAUCACUAGGAAUACCUAAAGCGAAGGCGAUCUCCUGGAACAUUACUGACGCUAAGGCGUGAAAGCGUGGGGAGCAAACAGGAUUAGAUACCCCUGUAGUC
This 439-nucleotide ribosomal RNA is filed under the name uncultured bacterium. RNAcentral's name for it is "partial 16S ribosomal RNA". It matches the Rfam family "Bacterial small subunit ribosomal RNA", at positions 339 to 795 of the family's 1533-position model. The record is from RNAcentral.